RNAcentral lists this transfer-messenger RNA (365 nucleotides) under Actinomycetota bacterium. It matches the Rfam family "transfer-messenger RNA". Rfam says of the family: Bacterial tmRNA, also known as 10Sa RNA or SsrA, is named for its dual tRNA and mRNA-like properties. Its role is to liberate the mRNA from a stalled ribosome. Lineage: Bacteria; Bacillati; Actinomycetota. The record is from RNAcentral.
GGGGACGACAGGCUUCGACGUGGUCGGAUCCGCUGGGGUGAUUGCGAGCCGAGGUCCCGGAGGCCUCGAUAAACACCGGGAAAACCAUACGUGCGGACUCUCACGAGUACGCCCUCGCUUCCUAGCACCAACCUAGGCAUGUGAGGUUCCGGCCCCCGCCCGCCGACCGCGGGGUCGCCGGAAUCAGAUACGUCGGCUGACCCGGGGAGCUCCGCUCCUGGCGAUCCGGGGACAUCUCAGGGGGCUGGUCCCGGGGAACCCUGCCGGUGCGGUGACCCCGGGGCGAGAUCUGAGCACCGGAUACGCUCGUAGACGUCACCCCCGCGCGACUGCGGACGCGGGUUCAAUUCCCGCCGUCUCCACUG